RNAcentral lists this ribosomal RNA (460 nucleotides) under uncultured bacterium. RNAcentral describes it as "partial 16S ribosomal RNA". It matches the Rfam family "Bacterial small subunit ribosomal RNA", at positions 338 to 795 of the family's 1533-position model. The record is from RNAcentral.
CCUACGGGAGGCUGCAGUGAGGAAUAUUGGUCAAUGGGCGUAAGCCUGAACCAGCCAAGUCGCGUGAGGGAUGAAGGUUCUAUGGAUCGUAAACCUCUUUUAUAAGGGAAUAAAGUGCGGGACGUGUCCCGUUUUGUAUGUACCUUAUGAAUAAGGAUCGGCUAACUCCGUGCCAGCAGCCGCGGUAAUACGGAGGAUCCGGGCGUUAUCCGGAUUUAUUGGGUUUAAAGGGUGCGUAGGCGGCCUUUUAAGUCAGCGGGGAAAGUCUGUGGCUAAACCAUAGAAUUGCCGUUGAAACUGGGAGGCUUGAGUAUGUUUGAGGCAGGCGGAAUGCGUGGUGUAGCGGUGAAAUGCUUAGAUAUCACGCAGAACCCCGAUUGCGAAGGCAGCCUGCCAAGCCAUGACUGACGCUGAUGCACGAAAGCGUGGGGAUCAAACAGGAUUAGAUACCCUUGUAGUC